GAUGAAGAACGUAAGCGAAAUGCGAUAAGUAGUGUGAAUUGCAGAAUUCAGUGAAUCAUCGAAUCUUUGAACGCACAUUGCGCCCCUUGGUAUCCCGAGGGGCAUGCCUGUUCGAGCGUCAUUUCACCACUCAAGCCUGGCUUGGUGUUGGGCGACGUCCUCUUUGGGGACGCGCCUCGAAACGCUCGGCGGCGUGGCACCGGCUUUAAGCGUAGCAGAAUCUUUCGCUUUGGAAGUCGGGGCCCCGUCUGCCGGAAGACCUGCUCGCAAGGUUGACCUCGGAUCAGGCAGGGAUACCCGCUGAACUUAAGCAUAUCAAUAAGCGGAGGA
Molecule: unclassified non-coding RNA, 330 nt
Filed under: soil metagenome
Description: partial contains 5.8S ribosomal RNA, internal transcribed spacer 2, and large subunit ribosomal RNA
Rfam family: 5.8S ribosomal RNA (bases 1-121)
Source: RNAcentral